Molecule: ribosomal RNA, 381 nt
Filed under: uncultured eukaryote
Lineage: Eukaryota
Also listed under: 1 other name
Description: SSU rRNA
Rfam family: Eukaryotic small subunit ribosomal RNA
Source: RNAcentral
AGCUCCAAUAGCGUAUAUUAAAGUUGUUGCGGUUAAAACGCUCGUAGUUGGGUUUCUGUUGGGAACAACAUGUCUGCCCAAGUGGUGAGAACUUGUAAUGUUCCUAGCAUCUUCUUGAGGAACAAACGCACACUUUAUUGUGUGGUUUGCAAAUCAGGGCUUUUACUUUGAGGAAAUGAGAGUGCUUCAAGCGGGUGACUGCCACGAAUAUGUUAGCAUGGAAUAAUAGUAUUGGACUUCGGAUCAUAGCUGUUGGUUGCUAGGACCGGAGUGAGGAUAAACAGGGACAGUUGGGGGCAUUCGUAUUUAACUGUCAGAGGUGAAAUUCUUGGAUUUGUUAAAGACGAACUACUGCGAAAGCAUUUGCCAAGGAUGUUUUCA